RNAcentral lists this ribosomal RNA (419 nucleotides) under uncultured actinomycete. RNAcentral's name for it is "bacterial SSU rRNA". It matches the Rfam family "Bacterial small subunit ribosomal RNA", at positions 930 to 1482 of the family's 1533-position model. The record is from RNAcentral. Lineage: Bacteria; Bacillati; Actinomycetota; Actinomycetes; Actinomycetales.
CAGCGGAGCAUGUGGUUUAAUUCGAUGCAACGCGAAGAACCUUACCUGGGCUUGACAUGUAACUGACAGCNGUGGAAACAGUCUCCAGUAACAGGUGUGACGAGCGCAACCCCUGUCCUAUGUUGCCAUCGGGAUGUCAAGUAUCAUGCCCCUUAUGUCCAGGCUACAUACAUGGCCGAUACAAGGGUUGCGAUACCGCGAGGUGGAGCGUCCCAAAAAGUCGGUCUCGGUUCNGAUUGGAGUGCAAUUCGCCUCCAUGAAGCUGGAGCUGCUAGUAAUCGGGAUCAACAACGCCGCGGUGGAUACGUUCCCGGGCCUUGUACACACCGCCGUCACACCACGAAAGCGAGCAACGCCCCAAGCCGGUGUCCUAACCCUUACGGGAGGGAGCCGUCNAAGUGGGGCCCGUGAUUGGGGUG